Molecule: long non-coding RNA, 1334 nt
Organism: Rattus rattus (black rat)
Lineage: Eukaryota; Metazoa; Chordata; Mammalia; Rodentia; Muridae
Exons: 3
Source: RefSeq, a predicted model, not a curated record
AGAUGACACGAAGAUAGCACUGCAUCUCAAAGACAGCGGAGCCUCUACAGAUGACAGUGCCGCCGAGAAGAAAGGAGGAACCCUCCAUGCAGGCCUCAUCGUUGGAAUCCUCAUCUUGGUCCUCAUUAUCGCAGCAGCCAUUCUGGUGACAGUUUACAUGUAUCACCAUCCAACAUCAGCAGCCAGCAUCUUCUUCAUUGAGAGACGCCCAAGCAGAUGGCCAGCAAUGAAGUUUCGAAGAGGAUCGGGACAUCCUGCCUAUGCGGAAGUUGAACCGGUUGGAGAGAAAGAAGGUUUUAUUGUAUCAGAGCAGUGCUAAGAUUUUAGGACAGAGCAGCACCAGUACUGGCUUACAGGUGUUAAGACUAAAAUUUUGCUUAUGCGUUUAAGAAAACAGACACACACCCACCACCACACAUACAGGAGCCCUAAACUGCUGUAAACAGAAGGGCGACGAGAUUUCUGGACAAGCCCAGCCCAGGAACGUUGAAAGGAAAACUCAGACUUGUACAAGACACCAUGUACACUGAAUAAAGAAUUCCCUAGCAGAAUGACAUUCAUGGUUCACAAGGAACAUCUCCUGUGGACUUGCCAGGAGUGUGACGAGAUGACGAUGCUUUUGGUUUAGGUGCAGGGUUGCAAAGGGAUCAAGGAAAAAAAAUAUGAUAAUAAAUAAAGCUUUAGUUCACAAGGGAUCUACACCUUUGGUUCAAAUGUUCUUCUCUGACGUCUCAAAGAUAAUCACGUUCCAAAGCCUGAACGCUUACGCUGGAAAGAGCAAUGGUGAAUUUUCAAGAUCACAGGGAACAAUAGCUCGCACAAGAGCAAAACCAAACAUGAAAGGAGGUUUUUCUAUCUUUUCCAAACAGACUAUCGGCAAAAGGAUUUUAUGUUGUGCUUUAGAUGCCAUUGUCCAGACAAGUUCAUUACUUUGCAGGACGAAUCGCUCAUCUGUUCAGAAGUUCAAACUAUGCCUGCCUCUUCCUUGGUAAUGAAUAACCUUCCUGUGAGCUGUGACACAAUUUCCAAAUGUUAAGCUAAGGACUAGAGAGGAGGGAGUAGCCAGUGAGGUUUUCCAUUCUCUCACUGCAGAGUAAAAUGAAAUUUGCUUCCUAAGGUGCUGCUUCUCUCCCACCUGGAGUCCCAUGGAGGCUCAUUUGCUCCUGGCUAAUGAAAACAGACAGAAAUCAGAGGAAGAUUUGUGAGAGCAUUUUUUGAGACAAAUAUCUUAAGAAAUGUUUUUUUUUAAUCACUAUGUCUGUAUGAAAAACCCAUUUCAUUGUCAAUCCCUGUACAAGAAGCCAUUCAAGUCAUCAUAUCCCUGGUGAUAGAAA